Molecule: ribosomal RNA, 497 nt
Filed under: uncultured bacterium
Lineage: Bacteria
Description: partial 16S ribosomal RNA
Rfam family: Bacterial small subunit ribosomal RNA
Source: RNAcentral
GAUGAACGCUGGCGGCGUGCCUAAUACAUGCAAGUCGAGCGAACGGACGAGAAGCUUUCUUCUCUGAUGUAAGCGCCAGCCGGGUGAUUAACACUUGGAUACCCUACCUAUACUACUGGGAUAACUUCGGGAAGCCGGGCCUAAUCCCGGAUAAUAUUUUGAGCCGCAUGGUUCAACAGUGAAAGACGGUCUUUCUGUCACUUAUAGAUGGGUCCGCGCUGCCUGACCUAGUUGUUAAGGUAACGGCUUACCACGGCAACGAUGCAUAGCGGACGUGCGAGGGGGGUUGGCGACACUGGAACUGAGAAGAGGUCCAGACGCCUACGGGAGGCAGCAGUAGGGAAGGGUCCGCAAUGGGCGACAGCCUGACGGAGCAACGCCGUGGGAGUGAUGAAGGUCUUCGGAGCGUAAUAAUCCGCUAUUAGGGAUGAACAUAUGUCUAAGUAACGGGGUACAGCUGGACGGAACCGAAUCAGAAAGCCACGGCUAACUACGUG